Molecule: ribosomal RNA, 253 nt
Filed under: uncultured bacterium
Lineage: Bacteria
Description: partial 16S ribosomal RNA
Rfam family: Bacterial small subunit ribosomal RNA
Source: RNAcentral
UACGAAGGGGGCUAGCGUUGCUCGGAAUCACUGGGCGUAAAGCGCACGUAGGCGGAUCGCUAAGUCAGGGGUGAAAUCCUGGAGCUCAACUCCAGAACUGCCUUUGAUACUGGCAAUCUCGAGUCCGGGAGAGGCGAGUGGAACUGCGAGUGUAGAGGUGAAAUUCGUAGAUAUUCGCAAGAACACCAGUGGCGAAGGCGGCUCACUGGCCCGGUACUGACGCUGAGGUGCGAAAGCGUGGGGAGCAAACAGG